RNAcentral lists this ribosomal RNA (433 nucleotides) under uncultured bacterium. RNAcentral's name for it is "partial 16S ribosomal RNA". It matches the Rfam family "Bacterial small subunit ribosomal RNA", at positions 29 to 507 of the family's 1533-position model. The record is from RNAcentral.
AACGAACGCUGGCGGCAUGCCUAACACAUGCAAGUCGAACGAGACCUUCGGGUCUAGUGGCGCACGGGUGCGUAACGCGUGGGAACCUGCCUUUAGGUUCGGAAUAACUCAGAGAAAUUUGAGCUAAUACCGGAUGAUGUCUUCGGACCAAAGAUUUAUCGCCUUUAGAUGGGCCCGCGUUGGAUUAGCUAGUCGGUGGGGUAAAGGCCUACCAAGGCGACGAUCCAUAGCUGGUCUGAGAGGAUGAUCAGCCACACUGGGACUGAGACACGGCCCAGACUCCUACGGGAGGCAGCAGUGGGGAAUAUUGGACAAUGGGCGAAAGCCUGAUCCAGCAAUGCCGCGUGAGUGAUGAAGGCCUUAGGGUUGUAAAGCUCUUUUACCCGAGAUGAUAAUGACAGUAUCGGGAGAAUAAGCUCCGGCUAACUCCGUG